This 228-nucleotide ribosomal RNA is filed under the name uncultured bacterium. Its description in RNAcentral is "partial 16S ribosomal RNA". It matches the Rfam family "Bacterial small subunit ribosomal RNA", at positions 524 to 776 of the family's 1533-position model. The record is from RNAcentral.
UACGUAAAAGACUAGUGUUAUUCAUCUUUAACAGGUUUAAAGGGUCCGUAGACGGUAAAAAUUCCAUCUUAAAUAGGAUAUGUUUUUUUACUAGAGUUUUAUAUGAGGAGGCGAGUAUUCAUGGAGUAGAGUUGAAAUUCUUUGAUCCCAUGACGACUGGUAAGGGCGAAAGCAACCUUUUUAUCUAAUAACUGACGUUGAGGGACGAAGGCUUGGGUCGCGAACAGG